This 254-nucleotide ribosomal RNA is filed under the name uncultured bacterium. RNAcentral describes it as "partial 16S ribosomal RNA". It matches the Rfam family "Bacterial small subunit ribosomal RNA", at positions 524 to 776 of the family's 1533-position model. The record is from RNAcentral.
UACAGAGGGUGCGAGCGUUGUCCGGAAUCACUGGGCGUAAAGGGCGCGUAGGCGGCAAUUCAAGUCAUCUGUGAAAUCUCCGGGCUUAACUCGGAAUGGUCAGGUGAUACUGCUUUGCUAGAGUGCAGAAGGGGCAAUCGGAAUUCUUGGUGUAGCGGUGAAAUGCGUAGAUAUCAAGAGGAACACCUGAGGUGAAGACGGGUUGCUGGGCUGACACUGACGCUGGAGGCGCGAAAGCUAGGGGAGCAAACGGG